RNAcentral lists this ribosomal RNA (496 nucleotides) under uncultured bacterium. RNAcentral's name for it is "partial 16S ribosomal RNA". It matches the Rfam family "Bacterial small subunit ribosomal RNA", at positions 28 to 506 of the family's 1533-position model. The record is from RNAcentral.
GACGAACGCUGGCGGCGUGCCUAAUACAUGCAAGUUGAGCGCUGAAGGUUGGUACUUGUACCGACUGGAUGAGCAGCGAACGGGUGAGUAACGCGUGGGGAAUCUGCCUUUGAGCGGGGGACAACAUUUGGAAACGAAUGCUAAUACCGCAUAAAAACUUUAAACACAAGUUUUAAGUUUGAAAGAUGCAAUUGCAUCACUCAAAGAUGAUCCCGCGUUGUAUUAGCUAGUUGGUGAGGUAAAGGCUCACCAAGGCGAUGAUACAUAGCCGACCUGAGAGGGUGAUCGGCCACAUUGGGACUGAGACACGGCCCAAACUCCUACGGGAGGCAGCAGUAGGGAAUCUUCGGCAAUGGUCGAAAGUCUGACCGAGCAACGCCGCGUGAGUGAAGAAGGUUUUCGGAUCGUAAAACUCUGUUGGUAGAGAAGAACGUUGGUGAGAGUGGAAAGCUCAUCAAGUGACGGUAACUACCCAGAAAGGGACGGCUAACUACGU